GUGGGGAAUCUUCCACAAUGGACGAAAGUCUGAUGGAGCAACGCCGCGUGAGUGAAGAAGGGUUUCGGCUCGUAAAGCUCUGUUGUCGGGGACGAAUGUGCAGUAUUUGAAUAAAGUAGUGCAAUGACGGUACCUGACGAGGAAGCCACGGCUAACUACGUGCCAGCAGCCGCGGUAAUACGUAGGUGGCAAGCGUUGUCCGGAAUUAUUGGGCGUAAAGGGAGCGCAGGCGGGAAGGUACGCCGGUCGUAAAAGUGCGGGGCUCAACCCCGUGAGGGGAUCGAAACUAGCGUUCUGGAGUGCAGGAGAGGAAAGGGGAAUUCCUAGUGUAGCGGUGAAAUGCGUAAAUAUUAGGAGGAACACCAGUGGCGAAGGCGACUUUCUGGACUGUAACUGACGCUGAGGCUCGAAAGCCAGGGGAGCGAACGGGAUUAGAAACCCCUGUAGUCC
RNAcentral lists this ribosomal RNA (450 nucleotides) under uncultured bacterium. RNAcentral describes it as "partial 16S ribosomal RNA". It matches the Rfam family "Bacterial small subunit ribosomal RNA", at positions 354 to 796 of the family's 1533-position model. The record is from RNAcentral.